UGCCUGCUUGGUCUCUUUUAUCAGCAUUUAUAUUUGGUCUCUUAAUCGAGGGUUCCUUAACACUAAAAGUGUGGGGUAAUUAACAACAGAUUCUUGAGUCUGUUGGAAGCCAUGGAUCCGCAAUACCUGAUAACCAUACAUACACAUACUUUAAUCUACAUCAUGAAUACUACCCCACGGUAAAAAUCAAAAUUAGAUCAACUGU
RNAcentral lists this long non-coding RNA (205 nucleotides) under Ananas comosus (pineapple). RNAcentral's name for it is "long non-coding RNA (ACOM_LNC038562)". The record is from RNAcentral. Lineage: Eukaryota; Viridiplantae; Streptophyta; Magnoliopsida; Poales; Bromeliaceae.